UAGGGAAUCUUCCACAAUGGGCGAAAGCCUGAUGGAGUAACGCCGCGUGUGUGAUGAAGGGUUUCGGCUCGUAAAACACUGUUGUAAGAGAAGAAUGACAUUGAGAGUAACUGUUCAAUGUGUGACGGUAUCUUACCAGAAAGGAACGGCUAAAUACGUGUCAG
RNAcentral lists this ribosomal RNA (164 nucleotides) under uncultured bacterium. RNAcentral describes it as "partial 16S rRNA". It matches the Rfam family "Bacterial small subunit ribosomal RNA", at positions 355 to 511 of the family's 1533-position model. The record is from RNAcentral.